UAACUCUGGCGUCUUCUCAUUUGCGGAUAAAUCUUUUGCCUUUUACUAAAGAUUUCCGUGGGGAGAAACAAUACAGUUAGUCUUGCCUCAUUUUUUCAGCUGUCUCCGGACGGAG
RNAcentral lists this small nuclear RNA (115 nucleotides) under Trichobilharzia regenti. Its description in RNAcentral is "U5 spliceosomal RNA". It matches the Rfam family "U5 spliceosomal RNA". Rfam says of the family: U5 RNA is a component of both types of known spliceosome. The precise function of this molecule is unknown, though it is known that the 5' loop is required for splice site selection and p220 binding, and that both the 3' stem-loop and the Sm site are important for Sm protein binding and cap methylation. Lineage: Eukaryota; Metazoa; Platyhelminthes; Trematoda; Strigeidida; Schistosomatidae. The record is from Rfam by way of RNAcentral.